This 266-nucleotide ribosomal RNA is filed under the name uncultured bacterium. Its description in RNAcentral is "partial 16S ribosomal RNA". It matches the Rfam family "Bacterial small subunit ribosomal RNA", at positions 524 to 787 of the family's 1533-position model. The record is from RNAcentral.
UACGUAGGGUGCGAGCGUUAAUCGGAAUUACUGGGCGUAAAGCGUGCGCAGGCGGUUCGUUAAGACAGAUGUGAAAUCCCCGGGCUUAACCUGGGAACUGCAUUUGUGACUGGCGAGCUAGAGUAUGGCAGAGGGGGGUAGAAUUCCACGUGUAGCAGUGAAAUGCGUAGAGAUGUGGAGGAAUACCGAUGGCGAAGGCAGCCCCCUGGGCCAAUACUGACGCUCAUGCACCGAAAGCGUGGGGAGCAAAGAGGAUUAGAGUACCC